ACGGCACCCCUCUCCGGAGGGAAGCGAGUGGCGAACGGCUGAGUAACACGUGGAGAACCUGCCCCCUCCCCCGGGAUAGCCGCCCGAAAGGACGGGUAAUACCGGAUACCCCCGGGCGCCGCAUGGCGCCCGGGCUAAAGCCCCGACGGGAGGGGAUGGCUCCGCGGCCCAUCAGGUAGACGGCGGGGUGACGGCCCACCGUGCCGACAACGGGUAGCCGGGUUGAGAGACCGACCGGCCAGAUUGGGACUGAGACACGGCCCAGACUCCUACGGGAGGCAGCAGUGGGGAAUCUUGCGCAAUGGGGGGAACCCUGACGCAGCGACGCCGCGUGCGGGACGGAGGCCUUCGGGUCGUAAACCGCUUUCAGCAGGGAAGAGUCAAGACUGUACCUGCAGAAGAAGCCCCGGCUAACUACGUGCCAGCAGCCGCGGUAAUACGUAGGGGGCGAGCGUUAUCCGGAUUCAUUGGGCGUAAAGCGCGCGUAGGCGGCCCGGCAGGCCGGGGGUCGAAGCGGGGGGCUCAACCCCCCGAAGCCCCCGGAACCUCCGCGGCUUGGGUCCGGUAGGGGAGGGUGGAACACCCGGUGUAGCGGUGGAAUGCGCAGAUAUCGGGUGGAACACCGGUGGCGAAGGCGGCCCUCUGGGCCGAGACCGACGCUGAGGCGCGAAAGCUGGGG
RNAcentral lists this ribosomal RNA (679 nucleotides) under uncultured bacterium. RNAcentral's name for it is "bacterial SSU rRNA". It matches the Rfam family "Bacterial small subunit ribosomal RNA", at positions 66 to 765 of the family's 1533-position model. The record is from RNAcentral.